Molecule: long non-coding RNA, 463 nt
Filed under: Triticum aestivum (bread wheat)
Lineage: Eukaryota; Viridiplantae; Streptophyta; Magnoliopsida; Poales; Poaceae
Description: long non-coding RNA (TAES_LNC012888)
Source: RNAcentral
CUACAUAGCAUUCCGCCCCAGGCAGGAACUUAGCAGGUCUUCAAUCUUCUGCAGGUUAGCCCAAACUCUUGCUUUAUUUUACCUACUGAUUUUCUUUCCUCAAUUUAUUUUCGAUCCGGGUAACUUCAUGGAUGCAAGCUGCUUCCACCUGAUUCCCUUGCAGUUUCCUUCUUUUGCAAACUUCUUCUAGUUCUGUUUCAGCGUCUCUAAUUUAUUCACGUAUUCGCAUGUAAAUACAGUCAAGGAGCUGAACAAGCGCCUUUUUCUAUGGAUUGCAAAAAUUAGGCGGUGUUCUUCUCGACUGCUCCAAUCUCUAAUUUAUUCACGUAUUCGCAUGUAAAUACAGUCAAGGAGCUGAACAAGUGCCUUUUUCUAUGGAUUGUAAAAAUUAGGCGGUGUUCUUCCCGACUGCUCCAAUAAAUGUGUCUGCACCUCAUUCCUUAUUGAAAAUGAUAUGAUUGAC